This 72-nucleotide transfer RNA is filed under the name Penicillium digitatum PHI26. Its description in RNAcentral is "tRNA-Thr (CGT) (tRNA-Thr-CGT-1-1)". It matches the Rfam family "tRNA". From Rfam's summary of the family: Transfer RNA (tRNA) molecules are approximately 80 nucleotides in length. RNAcentral also lists the same sequence under 1 other name. Lineage: Eukaryota; Fungi; Ascomycota; Eurotiomycetes; Eurotiales; Aspergillaceae. The record is from RNAcentral.
GCCUCUUUAGCUCAGUGGUAGAGCGUAUCACUCGUAAUGAUAAUGUCGUCGGAUCAAUCCCGACAGGAGGCA